GUGAAUCAUCGAAUCUUUGAACGCAAAUUGCACUCCCUGGUAUUCCGGGGAGUAUGCCUGUUUGAGGGUCGUUAGAAUAAAAAAUCGAGGCGUUGCUCUUUUUUUUAGGGGUGACUGUGUGGGAAGUGAGCCGUCUUUCAAAUGUUAAUUCAUGGUAAAGUGGCUUGAAAUUAGUCCAUCCGGUGCGAUUAAAGCGUAUUUAAGAUGAAUCUUAGUUAAGAACGCGAGAUGAG
Molecule: unclassified non-coding RNA, 233 nt
Filed under: Funneliformis mosseae
Lineage: Eukaryota; Fungi; Glomeromycota; Glomeromycetes; Glomerales; Glomeraceae
Description: partial contains 5.8S ribosomal RNA and internal transcribed spacer 2
Rfam family: 5.8S ribosomal RNA (bases 1-71)
Source: RNAcentral